This is a small nucleolar RNA of Onychomys torridus (southern grasshopper mouse), 80 nucleotides long. RefSeq annotates it as small nucleolar RNA SNORD81. Lineage: Eukaryota; Metazoa; Chordata; Mammalia; Rodentia; Cricetidae. The record is from RefSeq and is a predicted model, not a curated record. The transcript has a single exon.
CAGAAUAUGUGAUGAUCUCACCACAACUUGAACUCUCUCACUGAUGAUUACUUGAUGAUAGUAAAAGAUCUGAUAUUCUG